AGAGAGAAGCUUGCUUCCUCUUGAGAGCGGCGGACGGGUGAGUAAUGCCUAGGAAUCUGCCUGGUAGUGGGGGAUAACGUUCGGAAACGGACGCUAAUACCGCAUACGUCCUACGGGAGAAAGCAGGGGACCUUCGGGCCUUGCGCUAUCAGAUGAGCCUAGGUCGGAUUAGCUAGUUGGUGAGGUAAUGGCUCACCAAGGCGACGAUCCGUAACUGGUCUGAGAGGAUGAUCAGUCACACUGGAACUGAGACACGGUCCAGACUCCUACGGGAGGCAGCAGUGGGGAAUAUUGGACAAUGGGCGAAAGCCUGAUCCAGCCAUGCCGCGUGUGUGAAGAAGGUCUUCGGAUUGUAAAGCACUUUAAGUUGGGAGGAAGGGCAGUUACCUAAUACGUGAUUGUUUUGACGUUACCGACAGAAUAAGCACCGGCUAACUCUGUGCCAGCAGCCGCGGUAAUACAGAGGGUGCAAGCGUUAAUCGGAAUUACUGGGCGUAAAGCGCGCGUAGGUGGUUCGUUAAGUUGGAUGUGAAAUCCCCGGGCUCAACCUGGGAACUGCAUUCAAAACUGACUGACUAGAGUAUGGUAGAGGGUGGGUGGAAUUUCCUGUGUAGCGGUGAAAUGCGUAGAUAUAGGAAGGAACACCAGUGGCGAAGGCGACCACCUGGACUGAUACUGACACUGAGGUGCGAAAGCGUGGGGAGCAAAC
This 709-nucleotide ribosomal RNA is filed under the name Pseudomonas sp. RNAcentral describes it as "bacterial SSU rRNA". It matches the Rfam family "Bacterial small subunit ribosomal RNA", at positions 71 to 773 of the family's 1533-position model. The record is from RNAcentral. Lineage: Bacteria; Pseudomonadati; Pseudomonadota; Gammaproteobacteria; Pseudomonadales; Pseudomonadaceae.